RNAcentral lists this ribosomal RNA (484 nucleotides) under uncultured bacterium. RNAcentral describes it as "partial 16S ribosomal RNA". It matches the Rfam family "Bacterial small subunit ribosomal RNA", at positions 30 to 507 of the family's 1533-position model. The record is from RNAcentral.
AUUGAACGCUGGCGGCAGGCCUAACACAUGCAAGUCGAGCGGAUGAAGGGAGCUUGCUCCUGGCUUCAGCGGCGGACGGGUGAGUAAUGCCUAGGAAUCUGCCUGGUCGUGGGGGCUAACGUCCGGAAACGGGCGCUAAUACCGCAUACGUCCUGAGGGAGAACGUGGGGGAUCUUCGGACCUCACGCUAUCAGAUGAGCCUAGGUCGGAUUAGCUAGUUGGUGAGGUAAAGGCCUACCAAGGCGACGAUCCGUAACUGGUCUGAGAGGAUGAUCAGUCACACUGGAACUGAGACACGGUCCAGACUCCUACGGGAGGCAGCAGCGGGGAAUAUUGGACAAUGGGCGAAAGCCUGAUCCAGCCAUGCCGCGUGUGUGAAGAAGGUCUUCGGAUUGUAAAGCACUUUAAGUUGGGAGGAAGGGCAGUAAGUUAAUACCUUGCUGUUUUGACGUUACCAACAGAAUAAGCACCGGCUAACUUCGUG